This 912-nucleotide ribosomal RNA is filed under the name Bacillus amyloliquefaciens. Its description in RNAcentral is "bacterial SSU rRNA". It matches the Rfam family "Bacterial small subunit ribosomal RNA", at positions 48 to 942 of the family's 1533-position model. Lineage: Bacteria; Bacillati; Bacillota; Bacilli; Caryophanales; Bacillaceae. The record is from RNAcentral.
GCUAUACAUGCAGUCGAGCGGACAGAUGGGAGCUUGCUCCCUGAUGUUAGCGGCGGACGGGUGAGUAACACGUGGGUAACCUGCCUGUAAGACUGGGAUAACUCCGGGAAACCGGGGCUAAUACCGGAUGGUUGUCUGAACCGCAUGGUUCAGACAUAAAAGGUGGCUUCGGCUACCACUUACAGAUGGACCCGCGGCGCAUUAGCUAGUUGGUGAGGUAACGGCUCACCAAGGCGACGAUGCGUAGCCGACCUGAGAGGGUGAUCGGCCACACUGGGACUGAGACACGGCCCAGACUCCUACGGGAGGCAGCAGUAGGGAAUCUUCCGCAAUGGACGAAAGUCUGACGGAGCAACGCCGCGUGAGUGAUGAAGGUUUUCGGAUCGUAAAGCUCUGUUGUUAGGGAAGAACAAGUGCCGUUCAAAUAGGGCGGCACCUUGACGGUACCUAACCAGAAAGCCACGGCUAACUACGUGCCAGCAGCCGCGGUAAUACGUAGGUGGCAAGCGUUGUCCGGAAUUAUUGGGCGUAAAGGGCUCGCAGGCGGUUUCUUAAGUCUGAUGUGAAAGCCCCCGGCUCAACCGGGGAGGGUCAUUGGAAACUGGGGAACUUGAGUGCAGAAGAGGAGAGUGGAAUUCCACGUGUAGCGGUGAAAUGCGUAGAGAUGUGGAGGAACACCAGUGGCGAAGGCGACUCUCUGGUCUGUAACUGACGCUGAGGAGCGAAAGCGUGGGGAGCGAACAGGAUUAGAUACCCUGGUAGUCCACGCCGUAAACGAUGAGUGCUAAGUGUUAAGGGGUUUCCGCCCCUUAGUGCUGCAGCUAACGCAUUAAGCACUCCGCCUGGGGGAGUACGGUCGCAAGACUGAAACUCAAGGAAUUGACGGGGGCCCGCACAAGCGGUGGAGCAUGU